This 453-nucleotide ribosomal RNA is filed under the name uncultured bacterium. RNAcentral's name for it is "bacterial SSU rRNA". It matches the Rfam family "Bacterial small subunit ribosomal RNA", at positions 340 to 786 of the family's 1533-position model. The record is from RNAcentral.
UACGGAAGGCAGCAGUGGGGAAUAUUGCACAAUGGGCGCAAGCCUGAUGCAGCCAUGCCGCGUGUAUGAAGAAGGCCUUCGGGUUGUAAAGUACUUUCAGUCGUGAGGAAGGUGUUAAGGUUAAUAACCUUAGCAAUUGACGUUAGCGACAGAAGAAGCACCGGCUAACUCCGUGCCAGCAGCCGCGGUAAUACGGAGGGUGCGAGCGUUAAUCGGAAUUACUGGGCGUAAAGGGCACGCAGGCGGUUAAUAAGUUGGAUGUGAAUCCCCGGGCUUAACCUGGGAAUGGCAUUCAAGACUGGUUAGCUAGAGUCUUGUAGAGGGGGUAGAAUUCCAUGUGUAGCGGUGAAAUGCGUAGAGAUGUGGAGGAAUACCGGGUGGCGAAGGCGGCCCCUGGGACAAAGACUGACGCUCAUGUGCGAAAGCGUGGGGAGCAAACAGGGAUUAGAUACC